RNAcentral lists this long non-coding RNA (2851 nucleotides) under Hordeum vulgare. Its description in RNAcentral is "long non-coding RNA (HVUL_LNC006681)". Lineage: Eukaryota; Viridiplantae; Streptophyta; Magnoliopsida; Poales; Poaceae. The record is from RNAcentral.
UACAACUUGCAAGAUCGGAUCUAAAACACACAUAUAUUGGUGACAACAUAAUAAUUUCAGAUCUGAAAUCAUGGCACUCGGGCCCUAGUGACAAGCAUUAAGCAUGGCAAAGUAGUAGAAACAUCAAAUCUCAGAACAUAGUGGAUACUAGGGAUCAAUCUCCAUCAAAACUAACUCGAUUACAUGAUAGGUCUCAUCCUACUCAUCACCGUCCAGCGAGCCUACGAAUAGAUUACUCACGAACGACGAAGAGCUUCAUGGAAUUGGAGAGAGAAGAAGGUUGAUGAUGACGAUUUCCCCUCUCCGGAGCCCAAGACGGACUCCAGAUGUGCCCUCCAGAUGAAGAACAGGUGGUGGCGGCGCCUCCGUAUCAAAAACGCGACGAAAACUUCUCUUUUUAAUUUUUCUGGGACGAAAGACAACUUAUAGAGCUGGAGUUGGGGGCGGCAGGUGCCCGUGGGCCCCACAAGCCUGCCCACCGCCACCAGGGGUGGUGGCGGAGCAGGGGCUUGUGGCCCACUGGCGCACCCCCUCAGGUGGAUUCUAGCACAGGUAUUUUUGAUAUUUUCUAAAACUGCUCCCCGUAAAUUUUCAGGACGUUCGGAGAACUUUGAUUUCUGUACAAAAAUAACACCAAGGCAAAUCUGCUGAAAACAGCGUCAAUCCAUGUUAGUUCCAUUCAAAUCAUGCAAAUUAUAGUCCAAAACAAGGGCAAAAGAGUUUGGAAAAGUAUAUACGUUGGAGACGUAUCAGGUCUCAUACCUCUCAACAAGGGCACGAGCAUGAAAUCCCAAUUUCAUCUCUUGGAACAUCUCAUAUGUUCCGUGAUGUUUAAAACGUCUUUGGCGCCUUAAUUCUAAGCCGUUCAGCAUUACGCACUGAACUAUCACGUAGUCAGCAAAGACGUGUAUGUGUGAUGUUCCCAACAUCCACAGACAACGCUCGAGGUUCAGCACACCGAGCGGUGCAUUAAGGACAUAAGCCUUCUGAGCAGCAAUGAGGACAAUCCUAAGUUUACGGACCAAGUCUGCAUAAUUGCUACUAUCAUCUUUCAACUAAAUUUUCUCUAGGAACAUAUCAAAAAUAGUAGAGCUACAACGAAAUCUACAACAUAAUUUGCAAAGACCUUUUGACUAUGUUCAUGAUAAUUGAGUUUAACUAAUAAUAUUACUAAUAACUCCCACACAAAUAGACAUCCCUCUAGUCAUUCGAGUGGCUCAGGAUCCAAAUCGACUAACUCAAGUCCGAUCAUCACCUGAGUUGAGUUUAGCUUCAAUGGUGAACAUCUCAAUGUUGAUCACAUCAACUAUAUGAUUCAUGCUCGACCUUUCGACCUCUUGUGUUCCAAGGCCAUGUCUGUACAUACUAGGCUCGUCAAUUUUAACCCGAGUGUUCCGCAUGUGCAACUGUUUUGCACCCAUUGUAUGUGAACAUUGAGUCUAUCACACCCUAUCAUCACGUGGUGUCUCGAAACGACGAAGUGCCGCAAUAGUGCACAGUCAGGAAGAACACAAUUUUAUCUUGAUAAUUUAGUGAGGGGUCAUCUUAUAAUGUUACCGUCGUUCUAAGCAAAAUAAGGUGCAUAAAGGGAUUAACAUCACAUGCAAAUCAUAAGUGACAUGAUAUGGCCAUGAUUUUGUGCUUCUUGAUCUCCAUCACCAAAGCACUGACAUGAUCUUUAACGUCACCGGCGCCACACCAUUGAUAUCCAUCAGCAUGAUCUCCAUCAUUGUGCCGCUAUCGAGGUUGUCGUUCUAUCUAUACUAUUACUACUAAAGCUACUACCUAGCAAUAUAGUAAACGCAUCUCGAAGCACAAACGUUAGUUUAAAGACAACCCCAUGGCUCCUGUCGGUUGUCGUAGCAUCGACGUGCUAGUCGAUAUUUAACUAUUACAACAUAAUCAUCUCAUACAUCUAGUAUAUCACAACAUGCCUUUGGCCAUAUCACAUCACAUGCAUACCCUGCAAAAACAAGUUAGACAUCCUCUAAUUUAUUGUUGCAUGUGUUUACGUGGCUGCUAUGGGUAUCUAGUAUGCUCGUGUCUUACUUACGCAAAGCCAUAACGGUUAUAUGCAAAGUGCUAUUUAACCUUCUCCAAGGACCGCCUCGGUCAAAUUCGAUUCAACCAAAGUUGAAGAAGCAGACACCCGCUAGUCAUCUUUAUGCAACAAAGAUGCAUGUUAAUCGAUGAAACCGGUCUCUCGUAAGCGUACGAGUAAGGUUGGUCCGGGCCGCUUCAAUCCAACAAUACUGCCGAAUCGAGAAAAGACUAAGGAGAGCAGCAAAUCGAACAUCAACGCCCACAAACUCUUUUGUGUUCUACUCGAGAUUUCAUCUACGCAUGAACCUAUCUCAUGAUGCCACUUUUGGGGAACGUUGCAUGGGAAACAAAAAAUUGCCUACGCACACGCAAUACCUAUCCAUGGUGAAGAUCAUCUACGAGAGGGGAGAGUGCAUAUACAUACUCUUGUAGAUCGCUAAGCGGAAGCAUAUAUAACGCGGUUGAUGUAGUGGAACAUCUUCGCGAUCCAAAUCGCAGCCCGUCCCGCGAUCUCAUCACGAUUCAUCCCGCGAUCCCAUCACUAUCCAUCCCGAUCUAGUGCCGAACGGACGGCACCUCCGCGGUCAGCACACGUACAGCUCGAUGACGAUCUCCGCCUUCUUGAUCGAGCAAAGAGGGGCGAAGAAGUAGAUGACUUCUCCAACAUGGCGGCAUGGUGGUGGUGGUGGUGGAGCUAUUCCAACAAGGCUUCGCCUAAGCACCGUUGAAACUAGACUAGAGGAGAAACAAAUCUAGAAAGAGAGGGCAGCACGCGGCAGUUUUUCUGUGUCACAAAAACCCUCAAUAU